GACAGAGGGUGCAAACGUUGUUCGGAAUUACUGGGCGUAAAGCGCACGUAGGCGGCUUUGUAAGUUAGAGGUGAAAGCCUGGAGCUCAACUCCAGAAUUGCCUUUAAGACUGCAUCGCUUGAAUCCAGGAGAGGUGAGUGGAAUUCCGAGUGUAGAGGUGAAAUUCGUAGAUAUUCGGAAGAACACCAGUGGCGAAGGCGGCUCACUGGACUGGUAUUGACGCUGAGGUGCGAAAGCGUGGGGAGCGAGCAGG
RNAcentral lists this ribosomal RNA (253 nucleotides) under uncultured bacterium. RNAcentral's name for it is "partial 16S ribosomal RNA". It matches the Rfam family "Bacterial small subunit ribosomal RNA", at positions 524 to 776 of the family's 1533-position model. The record is from RNAcentral.